AGAUUGAACGCUGGCGACAUGCCUUACACAUGCAAGUCGAACGGCAGCACGGGAGCAAUCCUGGUGGCGAGUGGCGAACGGGUGAGUAAUACAUCGGAACGUGCCCAGUAGUGGGGGAUAACCCGGCGAAAGCCGGACUAAUACCGCAUACGACCUACGGGUGAAAGCAGGGGAUCGCAAGACCUUGCGCUAUUGGAGCGGCCGAUGUCAGAUUAGCUAGUUGGUGGGUAAAAGCCCACCAAGGCGACGAUCUGUAGCUGGUCUGAGAGGACGACCAGCCACACUGGACUGAGACACGGCCCAGACGUCCUACGGGAGGCAGCAGUGGGGAAUUUUGGACAAUGGGCGCAAGCCUGAUCCAGCCAUGCCCGCGUAGCGGGAAGAACGGCCCGUUCGGGUUAGUAACCGCGUUUUACGCGUAACGGGAAGAAACCGGCUUCCGGGUUAAACUUACCCGUAGGACGUAACGUA
Molecule: ribosomal RNA, 471 nt
Filed under: uncultured soil bacterium
Lineage: Bacteria
Description: bacterial SSU rRNA
Rfam family: Bacterial small subunit ribosomal RNA
Source: RNAcentral